Molecule: long non-coding RNA, 666 nt
Organism: Girardinichthys multiradiatus
Lineage: Eukaryota; Metazoa; Chordata; Actinopteri; Cyprinodontiformes; Goodeidae
Exons: 3
Source: RefSeq, a predicted model, not a curated record
UGGAGUCUCCAUAAAGACUUCUUGAUUUCCACCACUGUGCUUCUCAGAUCAGCUAACAUUUAAAAUAAUCUGGCAGCUUUUUUGGGAUAAGUAGUCCUUUUUCUCCUGUUUUUUUUGAGAAUGAGUGUUGAGCUGUGGCUUGAUUGACAGGUGUCCGCAGAACUGCGACUGAAAGAGCUUCCUGUGUGCAGGCCGAUGGGAACAAAGACCGUGAAUGACCCAGGCAGAAGCCCCGCUGCGGUGGCCAUGGGGAAUCCUCUGGAAAGAAGCGAGGCACAUUAGUGGUCGUAUGCCAGCCAGAUUUGCCUUGUUAUUCAUGAUAACUAAUUGCUUCCCGGCGCACCCGGCCUUUUCCCAGGAAGACGCCUUCGCCACAGAUUGUAACACGAGCCUAGGACUUAAAGCUGUCACUCAAAUCUCAGUGUGACCUUUUCAGGAGAAAAGGAUGUUUUCAGCCACUUUCUACCAACAGACAAAGUGAAGGUUAAUGUACUGACUCACAGUGCUGUUGGACAGAAAUGGAUUGAGCCUGGAUAAAGCUGGAAUUUCAUCCAAGGAAGAAACUGGAACAGUAUUAUAAAGUCGUGCUGCCCACGAGCUUUUCCGGACGGGCAUCACUGGAAACUUGUGUCUUCUGUGAGCACAUGUUAUUGUCAAACUCUCAUG